AAUGCAUAGGAAUCUGCCCAGUAGUGGGGGAUAACGUGGAGAAAUCCACGCUAAUACCGCAUAUGUCCUACGGGACAAAGCAGGGGACCUUCGGGCCUUGCGCUAUUGGAUGAGCCUAUGUCGGAUUAGCUAGUUGGUAGGGUAAAAGCCUACCAAGGCGGCGAUCCGUAGCUGGUCUGAGAGGAUGAUCAGCCACACUGGGACUGAGACACGGCCCAG
Molecule: ribosomal RNA, 219 nt
Filed under: uncultured bacterium
Lineage: Bacteria
Description: partial 16S ribosomal RNA
Rfam family: Bacterial small subunit ribosomal RNA
Source: RNAcentral